Molecule: long non-coding RNA, 257 nt
Filed under: Nicotiana benthamiana
Lineage: Eukaryota; Viridiplantae; Streptophyta; Magnoliopsida; Solanales; Solanaceae
Description: long non-coding RNA (NBEN_LNC028468)
Source: RNAcentral
GAGCAUCCUCAUCUCCGCAACCUUAAUUCUCUUAACAUGAGAGUUCUUCACUGCCAACACUCUGCCCCAUACAACAUGGCAGGUCUAACCACAACUCUAUAUAAUUUCUCCUUGAGUUUCUGUGGAACUUUCUUGUCACACAGGACUCCUGAUGCAAUCCUCCACUUUGACCACCCCGCUCCUAUACGAUGAGUGACGUCCCCGUCAAUCUCUCCGUCCCCCUGAAUCACCGACCCAAGAUAUCUGACACUGUCCCN